Molecule: ribosomal RNA, 467 nt
Filed under: uncultured bacterium
Lineage: Bacteria
Description: partial 16S ribosomal RNA
Rfam family: Bacterial small subunit ribosomal RNA
Source: RNAcentral
ACGCACGCUGGCGGCGUGCUUAACCCCUUCCAGUCGCACGGAAAGGCCCUGCUUUUGUGGGGUGCUCGAGUGGCGAACGGGUGAGUAACACGUGAGUAACCUGCCCUUGACUUUGGGAUAACUUCAGGAAACUGGGGCUAAUACCGGAUAGGAGCUCCUGCUGCAUGGUGGGGGUUGGAAAGUUUCGGCGGUUGGGGAUGGACUCGCGGCUUAUCAGCUUGUUGGUGGGGUAGUGGCUUACCAAGGCUUUGACGGGUAGCCGGCCUGAGAGGGUGACCGGCCACAUUGGGACUGAGAUACGGCCCAGACUCCUACGGGAGGCAGCAGUGGGGAAUAUUGCACAAUGGGCGGAAGCCUGAUGCAGCAACGCCGCGUGCGGGAUGACGGCCUUCGGGUUGUAAACCGCUUUCGCCUGUGACGAAGCGUGAGUGACGGUAAUGGGUAAAGAAGCACCGGCUAACUACGUG